UACGGGAGGCAGCAGUGGGGAAUAUUGGACAAUGGGCGAAAGCCUGAUCCAGCCAUGCCGCAUGAGUGAAGAAGGCCUUCGGGUUGUAAAGCUCUUUUAGUGAGAAAGAUAAUGACGGUACUCACAGAAGAAGUCCUGGCUAACUCCGUGCCAGCAGCCGCGGUAAUACGGAGAGGGCUAGCGUUAUUCGGAAUUACUGGGCGUAAAGGGCACGCAGGCGGUUAAUAAGUUGGAUGUGAAAUCCCGGGCUUAACCUGGGAAUGGCAUUCAAGACUGGUUAGCUAGAGUCUUGUAGAGGGGGUAGAAUUCCAUGUGUAGCGGUGAAAUGCGUAGAGAUGUGGAGGAAUACCGGUGGCGAAGGCGGCCCCUGGCAAAGCUGACGCUCAUGUGCGAAAGCGUGGGGAGCAAACAGGGAUUAGAUACC
This 424-nucleotide ribosomal RNA is filed under the name uncultured bacterium. Its description in RNAcentral is "bacterial SSU rRNA". It matches the Rfam family "Bacterial small subunit ribosomal RNA", at positions 340 to 786 of the family's 1533-position model. The record is from RNAcentral.